This 478-nucleotide ribosomal RNA is filed under the name uncultured bacterium. Its description in RNAcentral is "partial 16S ribosomal RNA". It matches the Rfam family "Bacterial small subunit ribosomal RNA", at positions 28 to 507 of the family's 1533-position model. The record is from RNAcentral.
GACGAACGCUGGUGGCGUGCUUAACACAUGCAAGUCGAACGGGAUUUAGUAAACAGAAGCCUCGGUGGAAGAUUACUAAUGAGAGCGGCGAACGGGUGAGUAACGCGUGAGCAACCUGCCUAUGACAGUGGGAUAGCCUCGGGAAACCGGGAUUAAUACCGCAUAAAAUCGUAGAAACACAUGUUUUAACGGUCAAAGAUUUAUCGGUCAUAGAUGGGCUCGCGUCUGAUUAGCUAGUUGGUGAGAUAACAGCCCACCAAGGCGACGAUCAGUAGCCGGUCUGAGAGGAUGAACGGCCACAUUGGAACUGAGACACGGUCCAAACUCCUACGGGAGGCAGCAGUGGGGAAUAUUGCACAAUGGGGGAAACCCUGAUGCAGCGACGCCGCGUGAACGAAGAAGGUAUUCGUAUCGUAAAGUUCUGUCCUAUGGGAAGAUAAUGACAGUACCAUAGAAGAAAGCUCCGGCUAAAUACGUG